Molecule: ribosomal RNA, 500 nt
Filed under: uncultured bacterium
Lineage: Bacteria
Description: partial 16S ribosomal RNA
Rfam family: Bacterial small subunit ribosomal RNA
Source: RNAcentral
AUUGAACGCUGGCGGAAUGCUUUACACAUGCAAGUCGAACGGCAGCACGGACUUCGGUCUGGUGGCGAGUGGCGAACGGGUGAGUAAUGUAUCGGACCGUGCCCAGUCGUGGGGGAUAACGUAGUGAAAAUUACGCUAAUACCGCAUACGAUCUAUGGAUGAAAGCGGGGGACCGUAAGGCUCCGCGCGAUUGGAGGGGCUGAUAUCAGGUUAGGUAGAUGGUGGGGUAAAGGCUCACCAAGCCGACGAUCUGUAGCUGGUCUGAGAGGACGACCAGCAACACUGGAACUGAGACACGGUCCAGACUCCUACGGGAGGCAGCAGUGGGGAAUUUUGGACAAUGGGCGCAAGCCUGAUCCAGCCAUUCCGCGUGCAGGAUGAAGGCCCUCGGGUUGUAAACUGCUUUUGUACGGAACGAAAAGGCUCUGGUUAAUACCUGGGGCUCAUGACGGUACCGUAAGAAUAAGCACCGGCUAACUACGUGCCAGCAGCCGCAGUAA